RNAcentral lists this small RNA (552 nucleotides) under Malus domestica (apple). RNAcentral describes it as "sRNA MD17G0087200". Lineage: Eukaryota; Viridiplantae; Streptophyta; Magnoliopsida; Rosales; Rosaceae. The record is from RNAcentral.
AUGAGGAUCUGUGUAUUAAAAAGGAGGAUCUGUGCAUUUUCUUCCUCAAAAGGAGCUUAACUGGACAAAUUCAUCGUUGAAGCAAAGAGGGGGUUAGGUUCGUGGGACAGAGAUCAGCGAGUUUCUAAUUUGAUGACUAAAGAAGGGGUUGUAGCUCAUGUACAAAGGAGAAGGCAAGAUUUUGUGACUGGGUUCACAGGAUGAUGGAGAUCGGCAUCGCAUGCUUGCAGACGACGCACGCACUAGAGACGGGACUAGCAAUCCUCUAGUUUUUUUGGGGUCUCACUAAGAACAGCUAGUGAAGCUGUUAGUCGGUGUGAGUCCGACUUAGUGUCAUUAAACUUAAUCCUGGUGCAGACCAAACAAGGGACUAUAGUCUAGUCCAGUCCAAUUCUUCCUAAUCCGGUCAAACAAACGGGCCCUAUAUGUAUUAAUCUAAUUAAUGCUUACUUUUGGUCAAUAUGCUACGAAUUGAUCUAAAACAUUAAAUUCAGUAUUAUUAAAGACUAUGUAGGGCUUAGUGGGCCUAUAUUGGUUAGUGAGUUAUCCCAG